AUGCACGCUGGCGGCGCGCCUAAUCCAUGCAAGUCGCGCGCACGGACGAGAAGCUUGCUUCUCUGAUGUUAGCGGCGGACGGGUGAGUAACACGUGGAUAACCUACCUAUAAGACUGGGAUAACUUCGGGAAACCGGAGCUAAUACCGGAUGAUAUUUUGAACCGCAUGGUUCAAAAGUGAAAGACGGUCUUGCUGUCACUUAUAGAUGGAUCCGCGCUGCAUUAGCUAGUUGGUAAGGUAACGGCUUACCAAGGCAACGAUGCAUAGCCGACCUGAGAGGGUGAUCGGCCACACUGGAACUGAGACACGGUCCAGACUCCUACGGGAGGCAGCAGUAGGGAAUCUUCCGCAAUGGGCGAAAGCCUGACGGAGCAACGCCGCGUGAGUGAUGAAGGUCUUCGGAUCGUAAAACUCCGUUAUUAGGGAAGAACAUAUGUGUAAGUAACUGUGCACAUCUUGACGGUACCUAAUCAGAAAGCCACGGCUAACUACGUG
RNAcentral lists this ribosomal RNA (496 nucleotides) under uncultured bacterium. RNAcentral's name for it is "partial 16S ribosomal RNA". It matches the Rfam family "Bacterial small subunit ribosomal RNA", at positions 29 to 507 of the family's 1533-position model. The record is from RNAcentral.